UGACAAACGCCUUCGCGUACUACCUUCAGGCACGGACUGAGAAGGAUGUGGAGAUUUUUGACCAGGUGAAACUGAAUAUCGACAAGGCACAGGAGAAACAGAAGGAGAGCUACCGGAGCAGAAUCAAGAAGGGGACCAAGUGCCACCGCAUCCAGGCAAAAAUGGUUACCUCGGUGGAAGCCAACAAUCUUAUCCAGUUGGAGCAGUUGGAUGGUUGACCACUGAAAGCCCUGAUGCCCUAAACUUCAGUGAAGCCCAAUAGACAAAGUAUGUUAAGCAUUUGUUGACAUUUGAGAAAGCAAGAAAUGGUAGUUUAUAAAAGAUAUACCUCUUCAAUUUACCUCCAAAUUACUUGAGGACCAUUGACUGUCCAAGCCCCACCAGAGCCAGUGCGUACGGAUCAGUCUGAUUCUCUGUGCUCUGAGUCGGAGGGGGACCAGUUUGAGGAUCUAGGUGUUCUGCCCAACACCCAGAUGGGGAUCCACCUGUCAUCCGUUACCAACCACCCUCCAACUUUUCAUUACAUCAGCUACAGCUACGGUUAUUGUCAUGUUGUAAUUAUCUGAUUAAAAGUUUUCUUGCACUAUCAUGCUGGGCACAUAAUAUGUGAGAUACACAGAUUACCUAAAAACACUAGCACUGCAAACACUCAGAACAAAGAGAGCAGCAGUGCCUGGACCUUGCAGUCUCCCUCUUCAAGUCUCCAUUCCGAGAUUGACCUGCCUGUUGAGAACAAGUGACAGGCGGAACCUCCGACCACGUCCUCUAUAUUCUACACAACAGAAUUCCGUAUUUUAGUCUAUGAUUGCCAUGUGUGCAAACAAAUAUGUGAAAAUGUA
Molecule: long non-coding RNA, 839 nt
Organism: Oncorhynchus tshawytscha (Chinook salmon)
Lineage: Eukaryota; Metazoa; Chordata; Actinopteri; Salmoniformes; Salmonidae
Source: Ensembl